CCUACGGGUGGCAGCAGUGGGGAAUAUUGCACAAUGGGGGAAACCCUGAUGCAGCGACGCCGCGUGAGGGAAGAAGGAUUUCUGGUCGUAAAGCUCUAUUAAUAGGGAAGAAAAUGACGGUACCUGACUAAUAAGCCCCGGCGACCUACGUGCCAGCAGCCGCGGUCCUACGUAGGGGGCAAGCGUUAUCCGGAUUUACUGGGCGUAAAGGGAGCGUAGACGGCAGCGCAAGUCUGGAGUGAAAUCCUAUGGCUUAACCAUGGAACUGCUUUGGAAACUGUGCAGCUGGAGUGCAGGAGAGGUAAGCGGAAUUCCUAGUGUAGCGGUGAAAUGCGUAGAUAUUAGGAGGAACACCAGUGGCGAAGGCGGCUUACUGGACUGUAACUGACGUUGAGGCUCGAAAGCGUGGGGAGCAAACAGGAUUAGAUACCCUAGUAGUC
RNAcentral lists this ribosomal RNA (440 nucleotides) under uncultured bacterium. Its description in RNAcentral is "partial 16S ribosomal RNA". It matches the Rfam family "Bacterial small subunit ribosomal RNA", at positions 338 to 795 of the family's 1533-position model. The record is from RNAcentral.